UCCUGCUGUGUGGAAAGAAUGUUGUAUAUAUGGGAAUGAGAGUACACAUCCUAUUUAAACGAUGUGUGUGAUGGAUCGGUAUUCAAAUCCAAUCCUCUGUUUACAGAGCCAGGUGUCACCUUAAAGGUAAUACUUUAUCAAGAUGCAUUUGAGGUGGUUAAUCCCCUUGGCUCUGCAAAGAAAAAACACAAAAUGCUUGGGGUUUACUUCACCCUAGCAAACUUUGAUCCUUUUCAUCGAUCCACAGUUGACAACUUGCAGCUUUUGCUUUUGUGCAGAGAAGCUAAUUUCAAACAUUUUGGCCAUGAGAAAGUGUUCUCUCCAGUCAUAUCAGAUCUUAAAGAACUGGAGACAAAUGGACUGAGUGCACAUGGAAACAUUGUGAAGGCAACAGUCUUUUGCAUUUCAGGCGAUAAUUUGGGUUCGCAUAAUAUUAGUGGGUUCACAGAAAACUUUAGUACAUGUCACUAUUUCUGCCGCUAUUGCCAUAUAACUAGAAGUGAGCUAGACAAUUUGGAACACCAGGCUCCAAUCCGCACAGUGCAAGACUACAGUGACGCUAUUCAAGAGGUGCAAAAUGGUGAUGCACGUGAAGUCAGAGGUUUGAAAUUUAACUCUGUCUUUAAUUCUCUGGCAUUUUUUCAUGUCUGUCAGCCAGGCCUCCCACCCUGUAUUGGCCAUGUUUUGUUUGAGGGUGUAGUGGCAUCUGACUUUGCCAUUUACCUCAACUACUUUGUCAAGGUGAAGAAAUUCUUCACAUAUUCACAACUAAAUCGUAGGAUCAGGCAGUUUAGUUACCAAGGAUCUGACUGUAAUUCUACACCCUCAGAAGUUUGAAAAGGGUGUAAAACUAGGUGGCCAAGCAACAGAAAACUGGUGUCUGCUGAGGCUUCUACCUCUUAUAAUCGGUGAAAAGAUAACAGAUACAGAGAAUCAGGUAUGGCAGCUGACUGUCCAACUGAAAGAGAUAGUGGAAUUGAUUUGUGCCCCUAAAAUAUCUGUACCUCAGGUUGCUUUGCGCAAUGUUCAGAUCCGUGACUAUCUAGAGGGAAGGAAAGAGCUGUUUCCUACACACAAAGUGAAACCAAAGCAUCAUUACCUCAUCCUCAUUAUCCUGCAUUGAUACUGAAAUUUGGCCCACUAAUGCGGUUAUGGACAAUGCGGUUCGAAAGCAAGCAUUCAUACUUCAAAAGAUGUGUGAGAAGAACACAAAAUUUCAAAAAUGUAUGUCAGACACUCGCCAGGAACCACCAGUUGCUACAAGCAUACCUACAUUCAGGUUCCUUUUUUGCACCUUUACUGGUGGUGAAGAACUCCACUCCUUUCCAUGCUGAACUGUACAGUAAUGCAGUGCGCACUGCUGUAGGACCAACCUUGGUCAAGGGAACCCAAUAUUGUGGCAACUACAGAGGUACAGUGGAAAGGCACUGUGUACAAAAAGGGGCUCUUUAUCUGUUUGAGCCAAGGCAAGUCAACUGAAUUUGGACAAAUUGAACUCAUACUGGUGAAGGAGGAGAAGCAUGUGUACUUCAUUAAUACACCUAAUGAUGUGUCAUAUUUGCCAGAGUUUGGUCUAUAUGAAGUGAAAGAGGCAAGGCCGAGCAUGAAGUGCAGAAAAGCAGAACUCAAUGUGGAUUAUUAUCCAUUACCUGUGUACAAGCUUUUUGGGACAAGAGUCAUUUCACUGAAACAUAGCAUUGUUGACACACAGUAAAUGGAAAGAAAGUAAAGAUCAUUCCAGACUAUACACCUCUGUCAGAAUACUAGUACCCUAUUUUACAUUUUUUACCAAGACACACUAGGUUAAAUAUAUAAGGAGCUAGUGAGAUUGUACAAAGAUUCGACCUUUUGACUUCACCCCAACACAAUCUCAAAAGUAAAGCUGCACACUGCAUAAACUUGGUAAGUAACUGCAGUAAAUACAACAAUGUAUGAGCAAUAUCAGUGAGGGUUGGACUUCCCCAGAGAUCUGGAAAUUUAACACUGGUUUAUGAUAAUAAAAUUUAUAGCAUUUACCUUAAAAUGACUGUAUGGGCUAGAGUAAUUCAAGUCCCUUUUACCACUAAUAGUCACUUGAGUUAUACAUAAAAACAAUGAUGUGAGAAACUAAACUGUCAGUCUCAUCUCUCCUGUAUAGUCAUGGAUCGAGGGAGUGCUCUUGCUUCUUUUAUUAAAUCAACUCUUCCAAAACUAACUGAACUUGAGCCUUUGCUUGAGGUUCUUCAGGAAUUAGGAGUCCAGGAACUAGAGGACUUGAACUACAUCCAAGAGAGUGACCUUCUUCAUGUCUUAAAGCCAGUGGAAGUGAGGAGACUUCUUUCACACUUCAAAACCACAAGCCAAAGAGAUGUGUUAGACAGUCUUCCCAGAAACCAGCUGUCCUCAGAUACAGCCUGUGACGGUCCUCAAACACAGCCUGACAAAAUGUCCCUUUCUGGUGGCUACAACUCUCCAAGUUCAAACUCGCCGAUAUCAGCAUCUAGUUCCAGUAUGGAUUUUGCACCUUCUCAACUGUAUGACAACAGCUGGCAUUUCAGAUUUGAAAUUCCUUGGAAGAAGAUGCCAUCUGCCAUCAUCAGAAAGCUGGAAACAGGGAAGCGACCAACAAAAAGUGAGAGAAUAAAUAAUUCGACUGAUUGUUAGUGAAACCUUAACAAUAUGCCCAACACCUGGGAAGAAACACAUAAGUGACAUUGCAAGAAAGAUGGUAAAGGCGUAUCCUGUGGCAUUCAGAGAUGUCAUUGAAGGUGAAAUUGUAGGCAGUGGGUAUGAUUCAAUCACAAAACAAAUGAUGAGCAGAGUGGAUAACUUGAGAGGAACCACUUCACUUUUCUUGAAAAGACAAGCUACUGGCACCAGUGAAGGAGAGGAUACCCCAAGCCAGGAGAAGACGACUAGACACCUACGGAUGUAUAAACUGGCAACCAGUGCAGCUACCACCUGAUGAAACACCUGAAUCUCCAAAAGAUGCACAAGAACAGUUAAAGAAAAUGUACAAAGAAAGAUGCCAUGACAUCAAGGGUAUUGAGAAUAUGAUGAGGGCCACCUUCUUCACUCAGAGAAAAGACAUUAUCAGUGGAAUUGAGACGUCUGAUUUGACAAAGGAAUGGCCAUAUUUAUUUGAGACAGUUGGCAUGAGGACACAUUUUAAAGAGCUUACAGGCCUGGACAUUGAUGACAAAGCCAUAGCAAAUAAAUGUGCCAGAGUUGUUUCAUACCUCAAGUCUAGUGACAAGACAGGGAAGAUGGAAACCGUCUUCAGAGAAAUGGAAACAUCAAGCAAAAAUAUUGCAGAUGUCAAUGCUGCUGGGUUCCUUCAACUACUUCUCAAGCAUUUCAAUGAGGAGGAGGAUCAGACGUUCUGUAAAGUGGAUAAAACAACUCUGCCAUCUGAAGUGAACUGUGCUGAACUUCCAAGUACGCCAUGCAUAGUUGUGUGUGGAACUUCUGCUUUGGAAGCAGAGUACUUCAUGUUAUCUGUGGACCAACCAUUGUGAAUAGCCACAUUACUGUCUUCAGUGAUGCUGUUGUGUUGAUGUUUGCCUCCUACUACUGCCUGAACAUCUCCUACCCAGCAGCCCAAGGAGCAACAUUGGAGUUCUUGCAGAGAUGCCUUUUCAAGAUAAAUCCUGAAAAGGGUUCAAAAGUGGAGAAGACCACAUCAAAAAAGCUGCUGGCAGUCAAUCCAAAGGUUCUUUCACUGAUAACAAAAAUUGCAGACUAUGAAUGGAGAGAGUAAGAAAGAAACAUUCUUUAAAAGUGGUCAGUUUUUUUGAGAUGUGUGCAGCAUAAAGUGAACAUUUUAAUUUUAUUGCUUGAUUUUUGGUUUUGUUUUUUCCCUCAUAAUGGGCAACUGUUUCAGUCUGCCUUCAAUGUACCUGGUUUGAAUCACAGUUGCAGGUACAGUUGGCCACAAGUAACCAAUUGU
Molecule: long non-coding RNA, 3928 nt
Organism: Pangasianodon hypophthalmus (striped catfish)
Lineage: Eukaryota; Metazoa; Chordata; Actinopteri; Siluriformes; Pangasiidae
Exons: 5
Source: RefSeq, a predicted model, not a curated record